This 427-nucleotide ribosomal RNA is filed under the name uncultured bacterium. RNAcentral's name for it is "bacterial SSU rRNA". It matches the Rfam family "Bacterial small subunit ribosomal RNA", at positions 355 to 774 of the family's 1533-position model. The record is from RNAcentral.
UGGGGAAUUUUGGACAAUGGGCGAAAGCCUGAUCCAGCCAUGCCGCGUGCAGGAUGAAGGCCUUCGGGUUGUAAACUGCUUUUGUACGGAACGAAAAGACUCCUUCUAAUAAAGGGGGUCCAUGACGGUACCGUAAGAAUAAGCACCGGCUAACUACGUGGCAGCAGCCGCGGUAAUACGUAGGGUGCGAGCGUUAAUCGGAAUUACUGGGCGUAAAGCGUGCGCAGGCGGUUAUAUAAGACAGUUGUGAAAUCCCCGGGCUCAACCUGGGAACUGCAUCUGUGACUGUAUAGCUAGAGUACGGUAGAGGGGGAUGGAAUUCCGCGUGUAGCAGUGAAAUGCGUAGAUAUGCGGAGGAACACCGAUGGCGAAGGCAAUCCCCUGGACCUGUACUGACGCUCAUGCACGAAAGCGUGGGGAGCAAACA